RNAcentral lists this ribosomal RNA (490 nucleotides) under uncultured bacterium. RNAcentral describes it as "partial 16S ribosomal RNA". It matches the Rfam family "Bacterial small subunit ribosomal RNA", at positions 30 to 507 of the family's 1533-position model. The record is from RNAcentral.
AUUGAACGCUGGCGGCAGGCCUAACACAUGCAAGUCGAAUGGUAACAGGAAACAGCUUGCUGUUUCGCUGACGAGUGGCGGACGGGUGAGUAAUGUCUGGGAAACUGCCUGAUGGAGGGGGAUAACUACUGGAAACGGUAGCUAAUACCGCAUAACGUCGCAAGACCAAAGAGGGGGACCUUCGGGCCUCUUGCCAUCCGAUGUGCCCAGAUGGGAUUAGCUAGUAGGUGGGGUAACGGCUCACCUAGGCGACGAUGCCUAGCUGGUCCGAGAGGAUGACCCGCCAACCUGGAACUGAGACACGGUCCAGACUCCUACGGGAGGCAGCAGUGGGGAAUAUUUCACAAUGGGCGCAAGCCUGAUGCAGCCAUGCCGCGUGUAUGAAGAAGGCCUUCGGGUUGUAAAAUACUUUCAGCGGGGAGGAAGGGAGUAAAGUUAAUACCUUUGCUCAUUGACGUUACCCGCAGAAGAAGCACCGGCUAACUCCGUG